This is a long non-coding RNA of Argiope bruennichi, 800 nucleotides long. RefSeq lists it as uncharacterized. The transcript is spliced from 3 exons. Lineage: Eukaryota; Metazoa; Arthropoda; Arachnida; Araneae; Araneidae. The record is from RefSeq and is a predicted model, not a curated record.
CUCCAUGAGACCGAAAAACACAUUUACCUGUCUGACCGUCUGUUGUUCUGCCUUUGUGAAUAAGAUGACUCGAAAACGUUUUGAGGUAGACAAAUGAAAUUUGGAAAGAAAGUUUUUCGGACAGCUCUAUUGGAAGUUAAUUGGAUUCCGGAUCAAGCAACCCAGGCAUUGGCGUCAAACUUGGCGACGAAUUUGCGACAAAAUGGAUGAUACAAGAAUCUUCAAGAAUUUCGGCGAUAGGCCCAUUAGGAGUUUGUUUAGUUAUAUUAACGUUCCGCUGUAAAGCAACACUUGGGCUAUUUUGGGACGGACUUCGUAAUUUUGAACCGCGGUCAGAUGACGAGGACGGUACCUGAGCUGGCACCCCCCUCUCCACGCCUUACCACAGCAGCCGGAGGACGUUUGGCAUGACGGAUUUAACGUGCAACAGACCCCUUACACGACGGUUCUUCGGUGGAAUCUGGUCUCGAACCUGAAACCCUAUAGCUCACAAGCUGAGACCUUGCCACCAGGCCACCGCGGCCCGUACAGUAUGUCUCCGAGUAAAGAAGACAAUUUUAAAGAGAGCUCUAACGGAUGCUGAAUAGGUUUUGGAUCUGUAACUCUCGGCUUUGGCGGCCAUUUGCUGUCUUGACGCCGGAUUUGGCGACAAAAACGGAAAGAUCCCGAAUAUUCGAGAAUCUUUGCAAUAUCUUAAUUAGAAGAUUUGUUCUAGAACAUUCCAUACUCUGUCAUGAUGGCUAUAAAGGCAUAGGCGCACAGACUGAUAGGGGUAGUUUAGCGAAGUUUCUCUUUGGAAU